Molecule: ribosomal RNA, 538 nt
Filed under: Salmonella enterica subsp. enterica serovar Manhattan
Lineage: Bacteria; Pseudomonadati; Pseudomonadota; Gammaproteobacteria; Enterobacterales; Enterobacteriaceae
Description: bacterial SSU rRNA
Rfam family: Bacterial small subunit ribosomal RNA
Source: RNAcentral
AAAUUGAAGAGUUUGAUCAUGGCUCAGAUUGAACGCUGGCGGCAGGCCUAACACAUGCAAGUCGAACGGUAGCACAGAGAGCUUGCUCUCGGGUGACGAGUGGCGGACGGGUGAGUAAUGUCUGGGAAACUGCCUGAUGGAGGGGGAUAACUACUGGAAACGGUGGCUAAUACCGCAUAACGUCGCAAGACCAAAGAGGGGGACCUUCGGGCCUCUUGCCAUCAGAUGUGCCCAGAUGGGAUUAGCUAGUUGGUGAGGUAACGGCUCACCAAGGCGACGAUCCCUAGCUGGUCUGAGAGGAUGACCAGCCACACUGGAACUGAGACACGGUCCAGACUCCUACGGGAGGCAGCAGUGGGGAAUAUUGCACAAUGGGCGCAAGCCUGAUGCAGCCAUGCCGCGUGUAUGAAGAAGGCCUUCGGGUUGUAAAGUACUUUCAGCGGGGAGGAAGGUGUUGUGGUUAAUAACCGCAGCAAUUGACGUUACCCGCAGAAGAAGCACCGGCUAACUCCGUGCCAGCAGCCGCGGUAAUACGGAG